CUAUCUGUUGGUAUAUUAUGAUUGAAAUAAUCAAUUAAUUCGGCAGGCAUCGCAUUUUGAGUUUCGGCCGAUGUUUGAUGCAGAUGUAGACGUAGACAAUAUGGCACUAGAUGAACACAUUGCAGUUGCAUCAUAUCUAAAUGUAUUAAUGCCCUGAAAUAAAUUCAUUAUUUUCGCAGCAUCUUCUUCAAUUUCAGCAGAAGGACUAGGUAACAUUUGCACCCAUUCUUUCCGCAUAUAAAUCAUACAUUCCACAUAAUGUUUGCUCUAAAUUCUUAUAGGUGACAGGUGUAUCAAGUAUUAAAACUUUAUUGAUUUGAUCAAUUACGUAUUUAGUUCUCGAAAUAUUAUAUCGGGGGUCUAUUGCGCAUGCUAAAGGAAAUAACAUAGGCAGUUCUUCCUAAUAUUUUCUAAACUUUAAUUCCAUAACAAUUAAAAUUUCACUAGAAGCAGGAUCAUUUUUAUAUUUAUGGAAUGUUCUUGCAAUUAUAUAAAGACGUUCAAGCACCAUACAGCUUGUGGGAUAAUAAACGCCGGAUAAAAUCUUUGUGGUCUCAUAGAAAGAUGUCAAAAAUCGUUUAACUUUCAAAGCUAAAAUCCAAUCGGAUUCAUUUAACAUACCAUUAUCAUCACUUCUAACAUGUCUAUUAUUAUAAAAGUCAGUUAUUAAAUUUAUGAAACCUUCACAUGAUUUUAAUAGCAAUUAUGUAAAGUUCCAUCUAUGACCUACAUUGCUAACAAAUAUUUUAGCAGUCAUCACCACUAGUUCGGCAUAAAAAUCUUCAAAUGCUUGUUUUCUACUAGGAGAGAUCGUAAUAUAUACUAAUGCAUUCCUAAUCCUUUGAAGUUUAUCAUUUAUAUGUUUUAAACUAUCUUGCACAAUUAAAUUCAAGAUAUGAU
RNAcentral lists this long non-coding RNA (900 nucleotides) under Olea europaea subsp. europaea. The record is from RNAcentral. Lineage: Eukaryota; Viridiplantae; Streptophyta; Magnoliopsida; Lamiales; Oleaceae.